RNAcentral lists this transfer RNA (62 nucleotides) under Artemia franciscana. RNAcentral's name for it is "tRNA-Tyr". The record is from RNAcentral. Lineage: Eukaryota; Metazoa; Arthropoda; Branchiopoda; Anostraca; Artemiidae.
AGUAGAGUGGCCGACAAAAGGUGCUAAAUUGUAAAUUUAGUCAUGGAGAAUUCCCUUUACUA